GCUUACGGCCAUAACGCUCUUAGAAUGCCUGAUCUCCUCUGAUCUUGAAAGCUAAGCAGGGUUGGGCCUGGUUAGUACUUGGAUGGGAGACCACCUGGGAAUACCAGGUGCUGUAAAUU
Pygocentrus nattereri (red-bellied piranha) is the source of this 119-nucleotide ribosomal RNA. NCBI's taxonomy places the organism in Eukaryota, Metazoa, Chordata, Actinopteri, Characiformes, Serrasalmidae. The record is from Ensembl.